AGAGAGGUGGCCGAGUGGUCGAAGGCGCACGCCUGGAAAGUGUGUAUACGUUAAAAGCGUAUCGAGGGUUCGAAUCCCUUCCUCUCUGCAA
This 91-nucleotide transfer RNA is filed under the name Pontimicrobium aquaticum. RNAcentral describes it as "Lacinutrix sp. CAU 1491 tRNA-Ser". It matches the Rfam family "tRNA". From Rfam's summary of the family: Transfer RNA (tRNA) molecules are approximately 80 nucleotides in length. Their secondary structure includes four short double-helical elements and three loops (D, anti-codon, and T loops). The record is from RNAcentral. Lineage: Bacteria; Pseudomonadati; Bacteroidota; Flavobacteriia; Flavobacteriales; Flavobacteriaceae.